RNAcentral lists this ribosomal RNA (500 nucleotides) under uncultured bacterium. Its description in RNAcentral is "partial 16S ribosomal RNA". It matches the Rfam family "Bacterial small subunit ribosomal RNA", at positions 28 to 507 of the family's 1533-position model. The record is from RNAcentral.
GACGAACGCUGGCGGCGUGCUUAACACAUGCAAGUCGAACGGGUCUGCCCUGUUUUUUGCGGGGUGGGUCAGUGGCGAACGGGUGAGUAACACGUGAGUAACCUGCCCCUCACUUCUGGAUAACCGCUUGAAGGGGUGGCUAAUACGGGGUGUUCUGGCUGUGCCGCAUGGUGUGGCUGGGAAAGAUUCACUUUUGUGGUGUUUUGGUGGGGGAUGGGCUCGCGGCCUAUCAGCUUGCUGGUGGGGUGAUGGCCUGCCAAGGCUUUGACGGGUAGCCGGCCUGGGAGGGUGGGCGGUCACACUGGGACGGAGAGCCGGCCCAGACUCCUGCGGGAGGCAGCAGUGGGGGGUAUUGCACAAUGGGCGGAAGCCUGAUGCAGCGACGUCGCGUGAGGGAUGGAGGCCUUCGGGUUGUGAACCUCUUUCGCCGGUGAAGAAGGUCCUGCUCUUUGUGGUGGGGUUGACGGUAGCCGGGUUAUGAAGCGCCGGCUAACUACGUG